This is a non-coding RNA of Elaeis guineensis (African oil palm), 2844 nucleotides long. The record is from RefSeq and is a predicted model, not a curated record. NCBI's taxonomy places the organism in Eukaryota, Viridiplantae, Streptophyta, Magnoliopsida, Arecales, Arecaceae.
AUUUCUUCGUUAAAAAAAAAAACCAAACCACAUCCGCCCUCUGGAUAACAGGGAGCCUAGUUUCCAUUGACGGAGUCUGCUUUCGGGGUCAAUUUGGAGCUCGAUUAGCGUCGGUGUCGUCGGCCAAAGCCCGGCGCACAACGUGAAAUCGGAGUGUAUUGUGCCAUGCCCAUGGCCGGCAAAUUGAAGCCCUAAAACGCUCUCGCCGAGGAGGGAAAUCAAAACCAUUCGCCAUGAGAGCCCUGAGGCCUCUCUCGCUACUACGAGCGAUUCGUUCUGCCAGCGUCGGAGGAUGGCUUUCGGGUGGCCCCACUCCUCCCUACUCUCUUCUCCAGAAUGGAGAAAGAGAAAUUUUUCCUUGGAGAAAGGUCCGUUGCCUAUCAUCAACUGCUCCAAUCUUCAAAGACACUUCAGACCCAGGAACAUUGGUGCAUGUCACCCAACCUUUAAAUAAGAGAGUUGAGACGUUGUUGGAAUAUGAAAGAGACCAGCCUCUUGAUGAUGGAAAAGUUAUUGAGAAAGACACAACCCUUAAUCUUGCUCUCUCUCAGCUUGCAGCUGAUUUUGAUAGCGAAUCUAAUUUAUCUUUGAGCCGGUUUUUCUGUACAAGAUAUACACCUGUGAUCUCCACAGGCUCUCUGAAGCUUGAUCUGGCUCUUGGGAUUGGAGGAUUGCCAAAGGGGAGAAUAGUUGAAAUUUAUGGGAGAGAGGCAUCUGGAAAAACAACACUUGCACUACAUAUUGUGAAGGAAGCUCAAAAGCUUGGAGGAUAUUGUGCUUAUCUUGAUGCAGAGAAUGCUUUGGAUCCAUCUCUUGCAGAAGCAAUGGGUGUAAACACAGAAAAUCUACUUAUUGCACGUCCUGGUUGUGCUGAAAAUUCCUUGAGUAUAGUGAAUACUUUAGUUAACAGUGGAUCAGUUGAUGUUAUUGUUGUGGAUAGUGUGGCGGCACUUGUUCCCCAAUGUGAACUUGAUGGCUUGAUAGACAUCAAUUCCCAAGAAGUACAAUCACGUUUGAUGACCCAAGCACUUCGAAAAAUUCAGUACUCGCUAAGCCGAUCCCGAACACUUGUUAUAUUUGUUAACCAGGUUAGAACAAAUUUAACAUCAAAUCGUGGCUUUGGGGAGAUAAAUGAGGUAACUUGUGGUGGAAAUGCCUUAAGAUUCUAUGCAGCAAUACGAAUGAGAAUUACAAGACGCGGCUUGCUCCACGGUGAAGAUAAGGUCACUGGCAUUGGCAUAUUAGUGCAAGUCAUGAAAAAUAAGAUGGCACCUGCAAUGAAGAAAGCUAGUCUGGAUAUAGGAUUUGGCAGGGGCAUUUGUCAUGAAGCUGAGGUCUUAGAGAUGGCUUCUGAGCGUGGAAUUGUUUCGAGAGAAGGAAAGGGAUACUUGAUAAAAGGAGAGUUUCUCAAAGACCAGCAAGAAGCUGAACAAUUUCUUGAGAAAAAUAAUACUGUAGCAGAUGAGCUUGUUCAUGCGUUGAGAAACCAAUUGUUUCAAAUAGCUGUGUGAAUUUCCUGGUGCAUAAUCUGAGAUCAGGAGCUGAUGAUUUUAUAUUUCUAUAUGGUGGAAACAGUGAAGUUUCUCUUGAACAAAAUGACAUUUCAAUAUCUUGAUAAAAAAUUGAAGAUAAAACUGUUAAAUGGUUACAAGGUUUAAUCAGAAGGUAGCAUGGAUAUUCUCAAGCAGCAAUAACCUAUAUCAAGUGACAGUUGCUAUGAAGCCGGCAUUUAGAAAGUUUGAGAUUGUUAAGCAUCAAGUCAUUGUGAGAGCUAGACAUGUGAAAAUUUAAUAUGCUGCCAUGUUUCAGGUGUUGACAUGUAGCCAGGAAUUGAUUAAUGAGGCUGUGCCCUUAUGUGCUGCAACAUUUCCUGUUCAUCUGAACUGUGCACCACCUUCCAAUUCAAGGGCAAGCCUUCCUUUUGUUUCUUUUAUUUAUAUUUUUCGUUUAAUAGGCCCCAAGAAUUUUCAAUUGUGAAGCAUCCUCUUGUCAGGCAUCUUAAAGAAAAGGUUAUGCCUGGAAUUUUCCCAAGAUUUCUGGAUUGGCCUACCUUUGUGUUGCAGACAGGGACCCUGUUUGCCUCUACAUGGAUGGCACUUAAAAUUUUCGUUCUUUCCUCAGAUAUCAGUUAAUAGGUUGUGGAACAACAGGACAUUCUGCAAAACAAAGACUUGUUCCAUACAGUCAGCAGUUCUAUCUAUCAUACUUUGAUUUACUGUUGAUUUCAAACCGGAGAUGGUCUUAUUUGUGCUCUGAAAAUGCCUGUAUGGCCUUCAAAGACUGUUAAAAUGACCAAUUCCUGGAAGUAGGCGUUGAGAGCAAAGAAAUUGUUUAUCAUGUCGAUCUAGCACUAGUGCUUUUGGUGUUCAGAAUAUACGUUGGGAAGGCUGGCCAGAGAUUUCUUACAAAAAGUUCCAAGACCUAUCACUCUGUAGUGAGGAAAACGUUGAUUCCAUGUGUUAUUACCUAUAUUUCUGAUGCUCUGAACCCUUGAGGCAACUUACUCCUCAUGUCGCAUCAAGAUACGUGACUCAGAAGACAAAAACUAGCAAAACGAAAUGAUUUGAGACGUGAGAUGACACAUUUUUGCUUCCUAUAUCAUGUGGUUGAAGGAAGCUGGAACAUGGGCAAUUUAUCCAAAUGGAAUGCUACACUUUAUGGGUUCCACAAAGAUGCGUGGCCUGCUAUUAUGUUUGUCAGCAAGCAUCCUGUUUCUAACUUUACCAAUCAGCAUUUUUUUUCUUUUUAUUGUUCUGUUCAAGUUCGGCACAAUUCAUGGGCAUGAAUUAGCGCGUAUUGGUGGUCAGCCAGGCUUCACACACCUGCUGCUUAGACCAUUUGGUA